UCUUUACGUUCUACACUUAGCUGGUUUC
This 28-nucleotide non-coding RNA is filed under the name Mus musculus (house mouse). Lineage: Eukaryota; Metazoa; Chordata; Mammalia; Rodentia; Muridae. The record is from RNAcentral.